GCAAGUCGAGCGGGGACUUCGGUCCUAGCGGCGGACGGGUGAGUAACGCGUGGGAACAUACCCUUUGGUACGGAAUAGCCUCGGGAAACUGAGAGUAAUACCGUAUGUGGUCGUAAGACGAAAGAUUUAUCGCCAAAGGAUUGGCCCGCGUUGGAUUAGGUAGUUGGUGGGGUAAUGGCCUACCAAGCCGACGAUCCAUAGCUGGUUUGAGAGGAUGAUC
This 220-nucleotide ribosomal RNA is filed under the name uncultured bacterium. RNAcentral's name for it is "partial 16S ribosomal RNA". It matches the Rfam family "Bacterial small subunit ribosomal RNA", at positions 57 to 305 of the family's 1533-position model. The record is from RNAcentral.